CCUGCCCACGGUUUCCGGUGACGCGAAAGUCCACAUCCUUCACAUUGGAGGCCCUCCAUCAUCAGAUGGAUUCACGACAAACUUUAUCUCGUGGUGAGCAUAUUGGAGAUAGCUUAAACUGGUGAUGAUGAAAUCUACCUUGAAUUGGGUUUCCACAAUAAUCGGCGAUGGGAAGCGAGAUCUGCGUUGGUGUUGUCCAAAUCGAUUGGAGUGGAAAUUGGAGACGGGAAAGAAUUAAAAGGCGAAACGCUGGGAGGAGGAGUGCAGCCCGUGUAAAUAAAGUACGUAAUGUAGGUCAGUAAUGGCGAUAAUAUAAAUUGUCUGGGUCUACCUCUCCCCCUCCACCCUUUGAGGUUCGACAAGUCCUCAUGGUGGAUCGGCCAUGGUAACUAUAUUGGAAAUUUGGUAAAACUUGCAAUUUCGGGUGGUUUCUGUGCAGUUGCCGAGUGUGUUUGUAUGUGUAUGUUGUGGGGGGGCCGAACAGGAGUCGUCCGGUUCAGGAGGAGAGUGUGAGGAGGAGAGCUCUGGCAGUAUCGACCACCAGGCGUGUGACGCAUCCAAGUUCAAUGCCAAGGUUGGGCCUGGCGCACGCGCGCCAUAAUGCGGCCGCCUAACCGGGGCCUCCUGGACAUUGCGUAACACUUCGCCAGUGCCGCCGCCACAUCUGCAAGCCUCCGCACCAGGUCCCAGGACCUUUGAAGAUGUGCACCAAUACCUGCGAGGACCAUCCGGUAGGUUCAACUUUGAGAAGUUCCUCCACUUCCAGGACCUUGGUGGUGAACUGUGCUUCCUCGACGACGAAGACAACUAACCGUCACCCCCAUGGAAGAGGUGUUACCAACUAGGUAACCAGCGACUUGGAGGAUCUACAGUGCAGACACGAGACACAAGAUCUCAACUAUUAAAAAGAAACAAUGGCAUCACCUUGUAAUAGAUGCUUAGUUGAACUACUCCAAGAAACUAUUACAUCUUGCCUACUAGGCUAUUCAAACUGAAACUAGAAUAUGGGCUAGCUAGACUAUCCUGUAACUAGUAUGGAAUAUUUGAAACUUCCGAACUGAAGGAAUUGAGACAAAGCCAGCAUUCAAACCAGAAAAAUGGCCUGGUCCGGGGGUGGAUGAGAGAAAGACAGGUAUUCCGGCGCGCUGUGACUCAAAGCAAUAUCUACGUAUCCGCUGUAUGUCGUGUGUGUGUGUUUGUAUGUACGUGUGCAUGCAUCAUGGCACACCGUGCGAUCCCGAUGAGACAUUGUACCAGAUGAGGUUGUCCAUCAAAGCAAACACCUGGGCAAUUUGGGACACGACGCGAAUACCCUCCCCGCGCCUCCAACAAUACGCAAAACAAGAAAAGGAGAGAAAAGAUGGUAAAAACAAUGGACGAACGAAGUAAGAUGACGAAGAUGAGUAUAAGAAUAAGAGCGGUAGCGGGAAGAAGAAUUAUGUGCUUUUGGCCCACUUAACCAGAUUCUGAUCUAAAUUGGACGGUGCAAAAUACCUAUUUGUGGCCUUGCACAUUUCGAAUUGGUACGUUUGGCAUUAGCCUGCUCUGCCAGACCGCACCGAACUCUCUCCUCCGCCGCGCGCGAUCUCUUGCAUAAUGCAGAGUGUUAUUUAGAGAGCAGCUCGUCCUGCUCAGCUGUUCCGAACUGUCGCACCAUCAGUCCAAUCUAAACCGUACAACCAACAUACGACGUGUUCGUUUAGCACUAAACCAAAUCAGAGGAGACCAUCAAGAUACCUCAUCCAAAAGACAAAAAACAAUACACCUAGUGGACAACAGUGGUUGUAUAAGAAAGAACUCUAAUACCAAUAAUCCAGUGCCGUUCUCUGCAGUGCCUCCUGUGCCAUUAUCAACUAUUUAUUUUAAUCUUAUAAUUAUUAACAACUGUGUUGGUUUGUUUCUUACUUUUUUUUUACAUCUAAUAACCCAAUUAUAUUCAUCCAUUUACAACGAAACGUAAAUUUGAGUAUACUUUUUUCUUUCUGCUAAUAUAAUGUUCUUUAUAUGUCCAAUGACGAUUCAAUGUCAUGCAAUAAUAUCUGGGCCGCGCGGCUAUAUUGGUUGUGUCGCAAAAUACUCAAAUCUACACCUAUUUCCUGCACUAACGAAAAAAUCGAAUAAAUUGAAUUGGAGAUCGUUACAUCAUCGGUAUCGAUAGAAACGAACUGGAACCGGCGAUUAUUUUUUAUUUUGUAACUCAACGAAAAUGACUCAUUGUUAAUCUCGUUGCAAAAAGCAAUUAUGUAAGCAUUUCAUUUCAUUCCAUUUAUAUUUAUUUUUAUCGUUUGUUCUUUUUUUUUUGGCGUUGCGAGCAUUGCGCGAACGCUUCAAAGAACAUUGGUAAUUAGACUCAAUCUGCGAAUUAUCCGUGCUCCUCUGUUAAUCAGUUAAUUAAUGGAAAUUGCCUCCAAGGCCGAUCCAAUUCAAUUUACGAAGUAAAUUCCGUUUAUAUAGAUUGCCUUUUUUUCUAACCACGAUUUAUUCCUUAAUCGUCCCAAGAGAUAUUGAAUUUGUCUUCAUUUGAAGUUCAUUUUCUUUACAAUUAUUAUUUUCAAUAUUUCAUUUGGACAAAUUUCAAAGAAAAACGUGAUUAAAUAUAUUUUUUCAUAAUAACCAUUGCA
RNA transcript from Nicrophorus vespilloides, 2621 nucleotides. RefSeq lists it as uncharacterized. The transcript is spliced from 6 exons. NCBI's taxonomy places the organism in Eukaryota, Metazoa, Arthropoda, Insecta, Coleoptera, Silphidae. The record is from RefSeq and is a predicted model, not a curated record.